UUAAGUGCUAAUACACCAAUACUUAUGCAAAGUUUAUUUUUGCGAAUAUUUGCUGUCUUUGAACUUGAAUAUUUUAAAUGUCUUCUUAAGUUUUUCUACGUGAACUUAGAUUCAUUACAUUACGUAGACAUGCUUAUAUUAUAUUAAUUCAUUCUUUUUCAAAGGUGGAUUAGGUAUCUGAAACACAAUUUCUCAUUGUCCUGCCUAUUAAACUUUCUAGCAAUGUCAAUAUAUUACGCAGUGAUCAUGUAAGUAUCAUCACAAUUUCCAGGACGAUGUUCCAUGGACAUAGUUUUGCCAUGAUUAUGAACUUUGUUAUGAUAAUAUGUGCUACACUGUUCGUUAUUGAUGCAUACCAUACAAUACAAUGCAUGUUCGACGAAAGUCAGAAAUUCUUUUAUAUUCCAAUUCUCGGGAAACCUAACUCCAUCGGAAAUUUUGAAAGAGCCGGGAAUUUCGACGUGAUCAUCGAAUUUUCACUUUUG
Frieseomelitta varia is the source of this 485-nucleotide long non-coding RNA. RefSeq lists it as uncharacterized. The transcript has 3 exons. NCBI's taxonomy places the organism in Eukaryota, Metazoa, Arthropoda, Insecta, Hymenoptera, Apidae. The record is from RefSeq and is a predicted model, not a curated record.